Pongo pygmaeus (Bornean orangutan) is the source of this 670-nucleotide long non-coding RNA. RefSeq lists it as uncharacterized. NCBI's taxonomy places the organism in Eukaryota, Metazoa, Chordata, Mammalia, Primates, Hominidae. The transcript is spliced from 4 exons. The record is from RefSeq and is a predicted model, not a curated record.
AAUCCACAUUGUAAGGCACAUAGUAAGCAGUCAAGAAUAUUUGUGGUUCUACCGACUGAAGUGAUCCUAUCUUGUGACUCAUUCAUGGCACGUCUAUAAGUCAAGCUGGAAUCCUCUAAAAUAAGUCACCCGGGAAAAAAUUCUGAUCUUAUUCUAGACGAAGAAUGAAAAGCCAGGAAGCUACAUAACCCAAGAAGUACGGCCUUUGAAGAGAAUGACAGUCAGAAAAGGGAUUAAGUGGCACAUUUCUUUCAGAUGACUGAUGCUCCUGUGCCUUUCUAGGAUUUUAGCACACAGAAGAAAUGUCCCUACCCAUGCAUACAGAAAUGCAUAAGAACAGGAAGUGAAGUAUUGUUUAUCAGGAAAAACAGCAUUUACGUAUUAUUUACAAAAAUUGAGGCCGAUCUCCAAGCUCUACUGUGGAAAGAGUUCAUCAAGUUCCUAGACUGAAGAAAGCUAAUUGCAAGAAAUACAUAUGUAGUAUGAACAAGUUUCAUUAUAAAUAAGAGUAAAAGCGUGCAUUGUAUAUGUACAUCCUUGUGUCUGUGUGUAUGUGUGUGUAAAAGUGUUUUUGUGUGUGUAUAAAAUCUAGAACAAUGAACAAUCUUCACCAAUCUUGUAAAGUGUUUAUGUUUGGGAAAUGAAAAUGGAGAGGAGAAAUUUCUGCUCU